This 468-nucleotide ribosomal RNA is filed under the name uncultured bacterium. RNAcentral describes it as "partial 16S ribosomal RNA". It matches the Rfam family "Bacterial small subunit ribosomal RNA", at positions 28 to 507 of the family's 1533-position model. The record is from RNAcentral.
GACGAACGCUGGCGGCGUGCUUAACACAUGCAAGUCGAACGGAAAGGCCCUGCUUUUGUGGGGUGCUCGAGUGGCGAACGGGUGAGUAACACGUGAGUAACCUGCCCUUGACUUUGGGAUAACUUCAGGAAACUGGGGCUAAUACCGGAUAGGAGCUCCUGCUGCAUGGUGGGGGUUGGAAAGUUUCGGCGGUUGGGGAUGGACUCGCGGCUUAUCAGCUUGUUGGUGGGGUAGUGGCUUACCAAGGCUUUGACGGGUAGCCGGCCUGAGAGGGUGACCGGCCACAUUGGGACUGAGAUACGGCCCAGACUCCUACGGGAGGCAGCAGGGGGGAAUAGUGAAAAAUGGGCGGAAGCCUGAUGCAGCAACGCCGCGUGCGGGAUGACGGCCUUCGGGUUGUAAACCGCUUUCGCCUGUGACGAAGCGUGAGUGACGGUAAUGGGUAAAGAAGCACCGGCUAACUACGUG